GGCCAAAGUGAGAAACAUAAAAUUGUAUGGCUCCUCAUUUCAUUGCCUGAAACCAAGAAGCUGGAUAAGUGAUGAGGUUAUUGAUGCAUAUUUGAGCUGUGUGGUCGAGAAAGCAGAUGGAAAGGUACAAGCCAUCUCAUCAGUAGUUUCUACUGUCAUUCUCUCAGGCAGAGCUCCACAAAUGAAAGUCAAGGUAAAUGCUAACACACUUUCAUACAUAGCAUGAGCAAAGCACAAUUUCAUUCAGUGAGUUAAACACAGUGUGAAACAGCAAAUACAAUGGUGUGUUUGAUGUGGAGGAGUAGUCUAAUAACAAAACAUGUACAUAAUACGGUAUUUCCCAGUUUCAUUACAUUUCAUUGUUUGCUUCACUGGAAACUAUAAUUGCAUUUCUAAUUUUUUUUAAUAGAGUGAAUUACUUCAAAAUGAUAUAUUAUUGCUUCCUUACCACACACCAGGUCAUUGGGUUCUUGCGAAACUUCAUCAAACAAUUAACUAGAAAAUCCUCAUCUGAUUGGAACAGUAAAAUUGUUCAUCAUCCCAGACAAAGUGAUGGCCACAACUGCAGACCACUCAUCUUAAAGAAAACAUGGAAGACUACUGCAUAUACUGCAACCUCAUCAACUGUGAAAAGGAAAGUGAGGAUUGCCCGAUGGUACAGUGUGAUUCUUGCAAGAGGUGGGCACAUAUGCCCUGCAUUACAGAAGGAACCAAUCAAGACUACCUGACUGAUGACAAGAAAGAGUACAACUGCAAAAAAUGUGCAUAGUUCACUUCUUUACUCCCCCC
This is a long non-coding RNA of Trachemys scripta elegans, 789 nucleotides long. RefSeq lists it as uncharacterized. The transcript is spliced from 6 exons. NCBI's taxonomy places the organism in Eukaryota, Metazoa, Chordata, Testudines, Emydidae. The record is from RefSeq and is a predicted model, not a curated record.